AGAUUGAACGCUGGCGGCAUGCCUUACACAUGCAAGUCGAACGGCAGCACGGGGGCAACCCUGGUGGCGAGUGGCGAACGGGUGAGUAACAUAUCGGAACGUGCCCUGGAGUGGGGGAUAACUAGUCGAAAGAUUAGCUAAUACCGCAUACGAUCUACGGAUGAAAGUGGGGGAUCGACAAGACCUCAUGCUCGUGGAGCGGCCGAUAUCUGAUUUAGCUUAGGUUGGUGGGGUUAAAGGCCUACCAAGGCGACGAUCCGUAGCUGGUCUGAGAGGACGACCAGCCACACUGGAACUGAGUACCACGGUCCAGACUCCGUACGGGAGGCAGCAGUGGGAAUUUGGACAAGUGGGCGCAAGCGUGAUCCAGCCAUUCGCGUGAGUGAAGAGGCCGUUAGGUGUAAGUCGUACGUUCGGACGGAAGA
RNAcentral lists this ribosomal RNA (425 nucleotides) under uncultured soil bacterium. RNAcentral's name for it is "bacterial SSU rRNA". It matches the Rfam family "Bacterial small subunit ribosomal RNA", at positions 26 to 451 of the family's 1533-position model. The record is from RNAcentral.